GACGAAGGGUGCAAGCGUUAUCCGGAUUCAUUGGGUUUAAAGGGCGCGUAGGCGGCCUUGUAAGUCAGUGGUGAAAUCUUCCCGCUUAACGGGAAAACUGCCAUUGAUACUGCUUGGCUUGAGUACAGAUGCUGUGGGCGGAAUAUGACAUGUAGUGGUGAAAUACAUAGAGAUGUCAUAGAACACCGAUUGCGAAGGCAGCUCACAAAACUGUAACUGACGCUGAGGCUCGAAAGUGUGGGGAUCAAACAGG
This 253-nucleotide ribosomal RNA is filed under the name uncultured bacterium. Its description in RNAcentral is "partial 16S ribosomal RNA". It matches the Rfam family "Bacterial small subunit ribosomal RNA", at positions 524 to 776 of the family's 1533-position model. The record is from RNAcentral.